UGAAAGCAAUGAGGCACUGUAGUGAA
This 26-nucleotide non-coding RNA is filed under the name Rattus norvegicus (Norway rat). The record is from RNAcentral. Lineage: Eukaryota; Metazoa; Chordata; Mammalia; Rodentia; Muridae.